UGUAGAUCAGUGGUAGAGUGCUUGCCUAGCAAGUAUGAGGCCCUGGAUUCAAACUCCAGCA
RNAcentral lists this transfer RNA (61 nucleotides) under Marmota marmota marmota (Alpine marmot). It matches the Rfam family "tRNA", at positions 6 to 65 of the family's 71-position model. From Rfam's summary of the family: Transfer RNA (tRNA) molecules are approximately 80 nucleotides in length. Lineage: Eukaryota; Metazoa; Chordata; Mammalia; Rodentia; Sciuridae. RNAcentral also lists the same sequence under 2 other names. The record is from Rfam by way of RNAcentral.